AUGAGCACGCUGAGCCUUCGAGGGCAGACGCCGCGCAGCGUGGAGCUGAGGUGUGGGGGGCCGGAGGGGGCGAUGAAGCACCAACAGCGGGGUGCUCCGGCCCUCACCCACCCGCAGCGCCAGGGCACUGGGGCACACGGCAGAGCCUGCGACACCUCUCCCGAUGCCUUUGACAUCUCCAGGAUGGCUGCUCAGGGUCGGGCUCUGGUUGGGGAGGCUCAGGGCGCUCCGCUCUCCCAUGGUGCAGAGCCGGCGGGACGUGGCUCCUGGAGGCAGCGUCGGGGCGACGGGAGCAGCUCCAGCUCUGUCUGCACCGAGGACUUGGCUGCCGCAUUUUGGGAGGGCAUGGUGGAGCCCGCAGUGUUCUCCGAGGGGGAGGAGGACGAGGCCCUCUCUUUCCCUACCGAGGACGAUGGCGAUGGGCAGGAUGCGUCCCUCUCCCUGGGACCAGGCUGUCCCUGGCGGGACACAUCCCCAUGGCUGACGAGGAGGGAGAGCCUGGAGUCCCUGGGAGUGAGGAUUUCCAGGCUGAGCCAGAUCAGUGCUGGGACAGCCCGAGGGGGUCCCUGCCCUGCCCCCUCCGAGGGGGACACGGGGCAUCCCUGGAGACCCCCAGGCAGCUCGGCCAGCAGGAGCGGGGCCGGGACCGGGGGACACCCCAGGACCAAGCCCACGGAGACCAGACAUCAGCAGCCAGCAGCUGUCCGGGGGUGGCAAGGAGGAGACGCCGCCCUCACAGUGGAGAAGGAAGGAGGUGGCAGCAGGCAGAGGGGAGCUCGCUGCUCGUCUCACCGUACUGAGGCAGCAGCGGGACCCUCCGGCAGAUGCAGCCCCCACUCCAGGGUGCUGAGCUUCGUGUCCUGCCCAGGCGGAGUGACCCAGCCCCAGUGGCAGCGCGGGAGGCUGGCAGCUGUCCUGUCCCACAAGCUGGUGUCGCUGCGCGGGGCCCUGCGGAGGAGCCAGGAGAGGACGCAAGAGCUGGGAGCUGGUGCUCAGGGGACCUGGAGAGAAAGGGAGAGAGGCAGCAGGGCUGGCUGGGCGCCGCUGGCAUGGACACAGGACCAGCUGGACCUGGAGAAUGUGGUGGGCACCCCAAGUUGGGUAAAGCAGGGUGGGGGCUGGGGGGGCUCUGGGUGA
RNAcentral lists this long non-coding RNA (1137 nucleotides) under Anser brachyrhynchus (Pink-footed goose). Its description in RNAcentral is "lncRNA (ENSABRG00000019060.1)". The record is from RNAcentral. Lineage: Eukaryota; Metazoa; Chordata; Aves; Anseriformes; Anatidae.